This 23-nucleotide microRNA is filed under the name Ornithorhynchus anatinus (platypus). RNAcentral describes it as "Oan-Mir-8-P1b_3p (mature (guide))". Lineage: Eukaryota; Metazoa; Chordata; Mammalia; Monotremata; Ornithorhynchidae. The record is from RNAcentral.
UAAUACUGCCGGGUAACGACGGA